CCUCGAAUCAGGUGGGACUACCCGCUGAACUUAAGCAUAUCAAUAAGCGGAGGAAAAGAAACUAACAAGGAUUCCCCUAGUAACGGCGAGUGAAGCGGGAUGAGCUCAAAUUUAAAAUCUGAUAGUCUUUGGCUGUCCGAGUUGUAAUCUAGAGAAGUGUUUUCCGCGUUGGACCAUGUACAAGUUUCCUGGAACGGGAACGUCAUAGAGGGUGAGAAUCCCGUCCUUGACAUGGACUACCAGUGCUUUGUGAUACACUCUCAACGAGUCGAGUUGUUUGGGAUUGCAGCUCAAAAUGGGAGGUAAAUUCCUUCUAAAGCUAAAUAUUGGCGAGAGACCGAUAGCGAACAAGUACCGUGAGGGAAAGAUGAAAAGCACUUUGGAAAGAGAGUUAAACAGUACGUGAAAUUGUUAAAAGGGAAACGAUUGAAGUCAGUCGCGUUUACUUGGACUCAGCCUUACCUCGGUUUGGUGCAUUUCCUUGUGAACGGGCCAGCGUCAAUGUUGUCCGUUGGAAAAGGGUUGGAGAAAUGUGGCUCUUUCGGGAGUGUUAUAGUCUCUGAUCGUAUACAACGGCUGAUAUUGAGUGGUACAGCAUGCUUCGGCGGUGCUUGUGCUGGCAUAAU
This 626-nucleotide ribosomal RNA is filed under the name uncultured Basidiomycota. RNAcentral describes it as "LSU rRNA". It matches the Rfam family "Eukaryotic large subunit ribosomal RNA", at positions 1 to 635 of the family's 3401-position model. Lineage: Eukaryota; Fungi; Basidiomycota. The record is from RNAcentral.